This 66-nucleotide transfer RNA is filed under the name Acropyga arnoldi. Its description in RNAcentral is "tRNA-Pro". Lineage: Eukaryota; Metazoa; Arthropoda; Insecta; Hymenoptera; Formicidae. The record is from RNAcentral.
CAAAAAAUAAUUUAUUAAGAAUAUUAAUUUUGGAGAUUAAAAGUGUAAUUUAAUUUAUUUUUUUGA